Molecule: ribosomal RNA, 869 nt
Filed under: uncultured archaeon
Lineage: Archaea
Description: bacterial SSU rRNA
Rfam family: Archaeal small subunit ribosomal RNA
Source: RNAcentral
CGGUAAAACCAGCACCUCAAGUGGUCAGGAGGAUUAUUGGGCCUAAAGCAUCCGUAGCCGGCUCUGUUAGUUUUCGGUUAAAUCUAUGUGCUCAACGCAUGGGCUGCCGAAAAUACUGCAGAGCUAGGGAGUGGGAGAGGUAGACGGUACUCGGUAGGAAGGGGUAAAAUCCUUUGAUCUAUUGAUGACCACCUGUGGCGAAGGCGGUCUACCAGAACACGUUCGACGGUGAGGGAUGAACGCUGGGGGAGCAAACCGGAUUAGAUACCCGGGUAGUCCCAGCUGUAAACGAUGCAGACUCGAUGAUGCAUUGGCUUAUCGCCAAUGCAGUGUCGCAGGGAAGCCGUUAAGUCUGCCGCCUGGGAAGUACGUACGCAAGUAUGAAACUUAAAGGAAUUGGCGGGGGAGCACCACAAGGGGUGAAGCCUGCGGUUCAAUUGGAGUCAACGCCAGAAAUCUUACCCGGAGAGACAGCAGAAUGAAGGUCAAGCUGAAGACUUUACCAGACAAGCUGAGAGGUGGUGCAUGGCCGUCGCCAGCUCGUGCUGUGAGAUGUCCUGUUAAGUCAGGUAACGAGCGAGAUCCCUGCCACUAGUUGCUAUCAUUAUUCUCAGGAAUAGUGGAGCGAAUUAGUGGGACUGCCGUUGUUAAAACGGAGGAAGGAGGGGGCUACGGCAGGUCAGUAUGCCCCGAAACUCUGGGGCCACACGCGGGCUGCAAUGGUAGUGACAAUGAGUUCCAAACUCGAAAGAGAGUGGCAAUCUCUAAACGCUACCACAGUUAUGACUGAGGGCUGUAACUCGCCCUCACGAAUAUGGAAUCCCUAGUAACCGCGUGUCAUUACCGCGCGGUGAAUACGUCCCUGCUCC